RNAcentral lists this ribosomal RNA (429 nucleotides) under Chloroflexota bacterium. RNAcentral's name for it is "Chloroflexi bacterium partial 16S ribosomal RNA". It matches the Rfam family "Bacterial small subunit ribosomal RNA", at positions 355 to 776 of the family's 1533-position model. Lineage: Bacteria; Bacillati; Chloroflexota. The record is from RNAcentral.
UGGGGAAUAUUGCACAAUGGGCGCAAGCCUGAUGCAGCCAUGCCGCGUGUAUGAAGAAGGCCUUCGGGUUGUAAAGUACUUUCAGCGGGGAGGAAGGGAGUAAAGUUAAUACCUUUGCUCAUUGACGUUACCCGCAGAAGAAGCACCGGCUAACUCCGUGCCAGCAGCCGCGGUAAUACGGAGGGUGCAAGCGUUAAUCGGAAUUACUGGGCGUAAAGCGCACGCAGGCGGUUUGUUAAGUCAGAUGUGAAAUCCCCGGGCUCAACCUGGGAACUGCAUUCGAAACUGGCAGGCUAGAGUCUUGUAGAGGGGGGUAGAAUUCCAGGUGUAGCGGUGAAAUGCGUAGAGAUCUGGAGGAAUACCGGUGGCGAAGGCGGCCCCCUGGACAAAGACUGACGCUCAGGUACGAAAGCGUGGGGAGCAAACAGG